This 402-nucleotide ribosomal RNA is filed under the name bacterium. RNAcentral's name for it is "partial 16S ribosomal RNA". It matches the Rfam family "Bacterial small subunit ribosomal RNA", at positions 355 to 776 of the family's 1533-position model. The record is from RNAcentral.
UGGGGAAUUUUGCACAAUGGGGGAAACCCUGAUGCAGCGACGCCGCGUGAUGUAGAAGGCUUUCGGGUUGUAAAAAUCUUUUCUAUGGGAAGAAAAUGACAGUACCAUAGGAAUAAGGACCGGCUAAUUACGUGCCAGCAGCCGCGGUAAUACGUAAGGUCCGAGCGUUGUCCGGAAUCAUUGGGCGUAAAGGGUACGUAGGCGGGUAAGCAAGUUAGAAGUGAAAUCCUAUAGCUCAAAUAUAGUAAGCUUUUAAAACUGCUCAUCUUGAGUUAUGGAAGGGAAAGUGGAAUUCCUAGUGUAGCGGUGAAAUGCGCAGAUAUUAGGAGGAAUACCGGUGGCGAAGGCGACUUUCUGGCCAUAACCUGACGCUGAGGUACGAAAGCGUGGGUAGCAAACAGG